GAAUCGCGGUGUAGGCGCGCACUCCUCCCUCUCCGGGAGGCAGCUCAGGGUUCGAGUCCCUGUCGAUUCACC
Molecule: transfer RNA, 72 nt
Filed under: Streptomyces hundungensis
Lineage: Bacteria; Bacillati; Actinomycetota; Actinomycetes; Kitasatosporales; Streptomycetaceae
Description: tRNA-Glu
Source: RNAcentral